RNAcentral lists this long non-coding RNA (286 nucleotides) under Cicer arietinum (chickpea). RNAcentral's name for it is "long non-coding RNA (CARI_LNC003710)". The record is from RNAcentral. Lineage: Eukaryota; Viridiplantae; Streptophyta; Magnoliopsida; Fabales; Fabaceae.
UUUUUUCAAUCCUACUUGAAGCUGAAGUUGUCUUUAUCUGAUAUAUUUCUCUCCGAUAAACAAAAAUGGAAUCAUAGUAUAAAACCGCAUACUUUGUUUAUUUUAUGUAACAAACAAAAAAAAAACGUAAGACGCCUACCACAAAAUUCAACACUUUCUAUCCCCUUUUAAUCAUUCAAUCUCAACUCCACCUUCCAUUUUCACUCACUUCACAAUUCACAGUUUCACACACACACCACUCUUCUUUUUUGAUUCACAAUUCAAACCUCAAAACCCAUGUCUGAAC